RNAcentral lists this ribosomal RNA (483 nucleotides) under uncultured bacterium. RNAcentral describes it as "partial 16S ribosomal RNA". It matches the Rfam family "Bacterial small subunit ribosomal RNA", at positions 30 to 506 of the family's 1533-position model. The record is from RNAcentral.
AUUGAACGCUGGCGGCAGGCCUAACACAUGCAAGUCGAGCGGAUGAAGGGAGCUUGCUCCUGGAUUCAGCGGCGGACGGGUGAGUAAUGCCUAGGAAUCUGCCUGGUAGUGGGGGAUAACGUCCGGAAACGGGCGCUAAUACCGCAUACGUCCUGAGGGAGAAAGUGGGGGAUCUUCGGACCUCACGCUAUCAGAUGAGCCUAGGUCGGAUUAGCUAGUUGGUGGGGUAAAGGCCUACCAAGGCGACGAUCCGUAACUGGUCUGAGAGGAUGAUCAGUCACACUGGAACUGAGAAACGGUCCAGACCCCUACGGGAGGCAGCGGGGGGGAAUUUUGGAAAAUGGGGGAAAGCCUGAUCCAGCCAGGCCGGGGGUGUGAAGAAGGUUUUCGGUUUUUAAAGCCCUUUAAGGUGGGGGGAAGGGAAGUAAGUUAAAACCUUGCUUUUUUGACGUUACCAACAAAAAAAACACCGGCAAACUUCGU